AAGGUCCCUAAAUGUAAGUUAAGUGGUAAAGGAUGUGGGAUUGCACAGACAACCAGGAUGUUGGCUUAGAAGCAGCCACUCAUUCAAAGAGUGCGUAAUAGCUCACUGGUCGAGUGAUCCUGCGCCGAAGAUUUCCGGGGCUAAAACUUACUACCGAAGCUACGGCAUCAGUAAUGAUGGGUAGGGGAGCUUCCCAUACGGGUUGAAGCAUGACCGUAAGGACAUGUGGACAGUAUGGGAGUGAGAAUGUUGGCAUGAGUAGCGAGAUGUGGGUGGGAAUCCCACAGGCCGUAAACCCAAGGUUUCCAGGGGAAGGUUCGUCCACCCUGGGUUAGUCGGGACCUAAGCUGAGGCCGAAAGGCGUAGGUGAUGGACAACAGGUUGAUAUUCCUGUACUACCGAUAACCGUUUGAGAGAAGGGAUGACACAGUAGGAUAAGCUAAGCACACUG
RNAcentral lists this ribosomal RNA (451 nucleotides) under Clostridioides difficile. RNAcentral's name for it is "bacterial LSU rRNA". It matches the Rfam family "Bacterial large subunit ribosomal RNA", at positions 1041 to 1497 of the family's 2925-position model. Lineage: Bacteria; Bacillati; Bacillota; Clostridia; Peptostreptococcales; Peptostreptococcaceae. The record is from RNAcentral.